This 253-nucleotide ribosomal RNA is filed under the name uncultured bacterium. RNAcentral describes it as "partial 16S ribosomal RNA". It matches the Rfam family "Bacterial small subunit ribosomal RNA", at positions 524 to 776 of the family's 1533-position model. The record is from RNAcentral.
UACAGAGGGGGCGAGCGUUGUUCGGAAUUACUGGGCGUAAAGGGCUCGUAGGCGGCCAACUAAGUCAGACGUGAAAUCCCCAGGCUCAACCUGGGAACUGCGUCUGAUACUGGAUGGCUUGAAUUCGGGAGAGGGAUGCAGAAUUCCAGGCGUAGCGGUGAAAUGCGUAGAUAUCUGGAGGAAUACCGGUGGCGAAGGCGGCAUCCUGGACCGACAUUGACGCUGAUGAGCGAAAGCUAGGGGAGCAAACGGG